This 381-nucleotide ribosomal RNA is filed under the name uncultured bacterium. RNAcentral describes it as "bacterial SSU rRNA". It matches the Rfam family "Bacterial small subunit ribosomal RNA", at positions 423 to 793 of the family's 1533-position model. The record is from RNAcentral.
UUGUAAAGUACUUUCAGCAGUGAGGAAGGUGGAUAUGUUAAUAGCAUAUUCAUUUGACGUUAGCUGCAGAAGAAAGCACCGGCUAACUCCGUGCCAGCAGCCGCGGUAAUACGGAGGGUGCGAGCGUUAAUCGGAAUUACUGGGCGUAAAGCGCAUGCAGGUGGUUUGUUAAGUCAGAUGUGAAAGACCCGGGGCUCAACCUCGGAAUUGCAUUUGAAACUGGCAAACUAGAGUACUGUAGAGGGGGGUAGGAAUUUCAGGUGUAGCGGUGAAAUGCGUAGAGAUCUGAAGGAAUACCGGUGGCGAAGGCGGCCCCCUGGACAGAUACUGACACUCAGAUGCGAAAGCGUGGGGAGCAAACAGGAUUAGAUACCCUGGUAG